This 500-nucleotide ribosomal RNA is filed under the name uncultured archaeon. RNAcentral's name for it is "bacterial SSU rRNA". It matches the Rfam family "Archaeal small subunit ribosomal RNA", at positions 339 to 842 of the family's 1478-position model. The record is from RNAcentral.
GCGCGAAAACUCUGCAAUAGGCGAAAGCUUGACAGGGUUAUUCUGAGUGAUCUCCGUUAAGGAAAUCUUUUGGCACCUCUAAAAAUGGUGCAGAAUAAGGGGUGGGCAAGCCUGGUGUCAGCCGCCGCGGUAAUACCAGCACCCCGAGUGGUCGGGACGAUUAUUGGGCCUAAAGCAUCCGUAGCCGGUUCUACAAGUCUUCCGUUAAAUCCACCUGCUUAACAGAUGGGCUGCAGAGGAUACUAUAGAGCUAGGAGGCGGGAGAGGCAAGCGGUACUCAGUGGGUAGGGGUAAAAUCCGUUGAUCCACUGAAGACCACCAGUGGCGAAGGCGGCUUGCCAGAACGCGCUCGACGGUGAGGGAUGAAAGCUGGGGGAGCAAACCGGAUUAGAUACCCGGGUAGUCCCAGCUGUAAACGAUGCAGACUCGGUGAUGAAUAGGCUUAGUGCCUAUUCAGUGCCGCAGGGAAGCCGUUAAGUCUGCCGCUGGGGGAUACGGUC